CCGAGACCCUCGGAAGGGUUUGCACUUUCUGUGGAUGUAUAAUUUCUGUUGAUUAACAGGAGUUGUGGGAAGGAGCCCUUUUGUAAAACUGAUGACAGGGAGGAGCUGCCUGGGGCAGAGGCUGUCAAAUGAUCUCCUUUGUGACUGCAACAGUGCAAAUAUUACCAAGGAACCAAAAUCCCUUCCCUCAUCCAGGGCUCCCUGGGGGCAGCAGUACUCAAACACAGAACUCUCCCUGUUGCCAGAGAUGAAUCUUACAGGUGUUGCCAUGUCAAAACAGCAUCAUUUUCUCCCAGCUCAGUUGAGUCUCACCCAGCACAGGGGGUUUGAAGUCAGGUCCUUCAGCCAGAUAACAGAUAGGCAGCAGCUUCUGGUGUUGCACUCUCGGGUAUUGAGUUUCCAGAGCUGGUGCUUGUUUCCUGCAAUCCUGAAUUACCUGCAGAGCUGACACCAAGUGCUGGAUGCAAACAGAAUCUGGAAUUUGCCCUUGAACAAAUAGCAUCCAGGCAAGAUGCUGCACAUGCCACACGUGUCACCUUCUGCAAGAACUCUGCUUCCCCUUGGUUUUGCAGUUGAUUAAAUAGCAGUUGUAUUCCUUGUAUAAAAUCUGAGUAUCUUGGACUGGUCUGGUGGGAGGGGACAACAAACUUGUUCAUGUUGGAGCACGAGCCCACUUGCAUUGAGAGGAAAAAAAGGAUUCUUUUAGCAACUUUCAGGGUAGCAAGAUAGGAUUUAAAUGAAUUUGGCUCUG
Molecule: long non-coding RNA, 751 nt
Filed under: Cyanistes caeruleus (blue tit)
Lineage: Eukaryota; Metazoa; Chordata; Aves; Passeriformes; Paridae
Description: lncRNA (ENSCCEG00000004454.1)
Source: RNAcentral